GUGUGUGUGUGUGUCUCUCUCGUUUUGUCUCGCUUUCGAGCGCGUAAAGUUCUUGCAUUUUGUUGUGUUUUUGUUACGGUAAAUGUGUCGCAAUUUUUGGGCUCCAACCGCCACCCACGCGCGAAUGAUUUACAGACAGGCCCGAACAUGAUUUAAGGCCGCCCGAUUGCUAUCUGCGAAUGCCGCAAUUAUGUUUUAAUUGGCGCUAAAUGGUUCACACACACAAAAGCCGUGAAAGAAAGGAUUAGUAGCAGCAACGCGAGGGGAAAGCGUGUUUGUUAAGGUUUACAGUUUUGGCGCGUAAGAAGUGGAACAAAUAAGCAAAAUGGCGUGGGAAAAGGAUAGGCCAAAAGGAAGAGGAAGAAGACUGUGAAAAGGACUCGAAACGACAAACAGAAAUUAACACAAAUGUUUCAUAAACUGGCAUAUCUUGAUGAACAGGAAAAGAAGGGAAAGGAAAGGAAACAGGAGCAGGAAAAGCAGUCAGAGGAUUGUGUACCACCCCCAGGACACGUGUUAAGUAGCCCUUAUCCUUCGUGUGAUAUUGUGUGAUUAUCAUCGGCUGGUAAUAUGCCGAACCUACAUCACGUCGACUACAAUCGGAAGUAUUCCGCCACGGAAACC
This 624-nucleotide small RNA is filed under the name Drosophila pseudoobscura pseudoobscura. RNAcentral describes it as "GA31904". The record is from RNAcentral. Lineage: Eukaryota; Metazoa; Arthropoda; Insecta; Diptera; Drosophilidae.